UUAUCUAGACGGUCACUAUGAUCAGGCAAAAUAAACUGUCUGACAGAUGACAAACUUGUUUUCAUUUGUUGGCGGAACUUUAUGAAUUCGAGUGGAAGUUGAGACAUUGUUGCCUCCGAGCUCACGGGAACAGAACCACUAUUAGACAGAGUGCCAAUUUUAGAGCGGGUUGGCAGAGAUUAGCCAAGACGGACGGUUUGCAAAUGCCGGUGGGGAGCAAACAGAACAUGCAUCAAAACACAGAUUUGAAAAUAAACUUCCCCCCAAAUUGAUCCCGAAUACCACAUCUAAAGGCAUCAAAUCAAAUUACAAUAAUCGCUACUCUGAACUACCCAAACAGUCGUUGAUUAGAGAUAACCAACCUGCGCACGUGUGCCCUUCCCCAAAAACAAAAACCUUGGGACCAUCUCCAGAUUAGUCAAAAUGAUACGCAGAAAUUGAUCGAAGGGAUCGGGAUCGAGAUGACCCUGGUUGGGAGUUAUGUUUCAAUAUUUUGUAUGAUCAAUAGAAAUAAAAUUUCAAAAACGUUUUUUUAUAGAUUUUUUUUGGCAAAAGCACUUGAAAUGUUUAAUCUAGUUGGAACAGCAGAACCUUUUUUACGUGGAGGCGUUACGCUUUGAACUU
This is a long non-coding RNA of Culex pipiens pallens (northern house mosquito), 624 nucleotides long. RefSeq lists it as uncharacterized. The transcript has 3 exons. The record is from RefSeq and is a predicted model, not a curated record. Lineage: Eukaryota; Metazoa; Arthropoda; Insecta; Diptera; Culicidae.